GUGGGGAAUCUUCCGCAAUGGACGAAAGUCUGAUGGAGCAACGCCGCGUGAGUGAAGAAGGGUUUCGGCUCGUAAAGCUCUGUUGUCGGGGACGAACGUGCCAUUUGCGAAUAGCAGGUGGUAAUGACGGUACCUGACGAGGAAGCCACGGCUAACUACGUGCCAGCAGCCGCGGUAAUACGUAGGUGGCAAGCGUUGUCCGGAAUGAUUGGGCGUAAAGGGAGCGCAGGCGGGAAGGUAAGUCGGUCUUAAAAGUGCGGGGCUCAACCCCGUGAUGGGAUCGAAACUAUCUUUCUUGAGUGCAGGAGAGGAAAGUGGAAUUCCUAGUGUAGCGGUGAAAUGCGUAGAUAUUAGGAGGAACACCAGUGGCGAAGGCGACUUUCUGGACUGUAACUGACGCUGAGGCUCGAAAGCCAGGGGAGCGAACGGGAUUAGAUACCCCGGUAGUCC
This 450-nucleotide ribosomal RNA is filed under the name uncultured bacterium. RNAcentral describes it as "partial 16S ribosomal RNA". It matches the Rfam family "Bacterial small subunit ribosomal RNA", at positions 354 to 796 of the family's 1533-position model. The record is from RNAcentral.